UACGGAGGGUGCAAGCGUUAUCCGGAUUCACUGGGUUUAAAGGGUGCGUAGGUGGGCAGGUAAGUCAGUGGUGAAAUCUCCGAGCUUAACUCGGAAACUGCCGUUGAUACUAUUUGUCUUGAAUAUUGUGGAGGUAAGCGGAAUAUGCCAUGUAGCGGUGAAAUGCUUAGAUAUGACAUAGAACACCAAUUGCGAAGGCAGCUUACUACACAACGAUUGACGCUGAGGCACGAAAGCGUGGGGAUCAAACAGG
Molecule: ribosomal RNA, 253 nt
Filed under: uncultured bacterium
Lineage: Bacteria
Description: partial 16S ribosomal RNA
Rfam family: Bacterial small subunit ribosomal RNA
Source: RNAcentral